Molecule: non-coding RNA, 69 nt
Filed under: Eubacteriaceae bacterium CHKCI005
Lineage: Bacteria; Bacillati; Bacillota; Clostridia; Eubacteriales; Eubacteriaceae
Description: skipping-rope RNA
Rfam family: skipping-rope RNA
About the family: Firmicutes, Fusobacteria, AlphaProteobacteria, Spirochaetes. Downstream gene
Source: Rfam by way of RNAcentral
AGGGAUAGAGGACGGAAAUGGCAUCCGUCGCCAUGUUAGAGAUGUGGGCAGGUCACCCCACCUAUCCCU